AACGUGUGAGAGCAUUCAUAUGUUACGUUACAAAAUUAUAACUUUGUUCCGCUAGACAAUUAUUUAUUCGUGAGACCAACAAAGAGAAAGCCAUGGUGAUAACUUGAGUCACACUUACCAUAGCAUGACGACAGUUUCAAGGGGGUCCUCACAACCCAAAUCCACAACUCUUCAGUGCCACCUUCGGAGGGACAACUCAUUCUGGAAGAUUGUGACGCGGCUGCUGCUCACAACACCAUAAGUUGGCAUCUCAGCCAAUCUAUGCACCAAUCAAGGCUUGACCUGUACAGAGACAGCUUACAUUUAGGCGACAUCAAUACAAUAACACCCAUAGAUUCAUACCAGAUGUCAGGAGGUGGUGGGGCAAAAGGAUUGACCGUCUCAAGCUCUCUCCAAUGAUCUGAUCAUGGGGUAGCAGUCUAAUAAACAACCAAUCAAAAAGAAAAUUGAGAACGAAAUUAUAUGUAAUAACAAAAGAUCGAGGAUGAUAUAUAUA
RNAcentral lists this long non-coding RNA (496 nucleotides) under Musa acuminata (dwarf banana). Its description in RNAcentral is "long non-coding RNA (MACU_LNC002357)". Lineage: Eukaryota; Viridiplantae; Streptophyta; Magnoliopsida; Zingiberales; Musaceae. The record is from RNAcentral.